ACACUCCACUGCCCUGUUCGUCACACCCCUCUCUUCGCUCCCCUCUUCCUCACUCCCCUCUCUCGGUCAUCUCUCUCCCUCAUCUCUCUCACACCUAAUACUCUUCUUUCUCGCUCAUCUCUCCUGCACCUAUCUGAAAAUCCUAAAAUCGAUUAGGACAAUAAUUUGGGGAAAACCCUACAAUUGAUUAGAGUUUUAAUUGAUUGUGUUUGAGCUUCUGUUAGAGAUUUUGAAGGAGGAUAUAUAUAUGUAUCAGAUUGUUAGAGCAGAAAAAUGGAGUUGCUCGUAGAAUAUCUUCCUCAGAGUACAGAGCUCAACUAUACCAUUAUCUGAAGAGCCGAAUGAACUAUAUAGCUCCAAGUCUAACUUCUCUUGUUGGAGAACUUGUUGGUGCUCAAUCUAGAAAGCAAAGAACUAGGCCAUGCUUGUCAUACAGCUAAAGGCAAACACAUGAUUGAGUUCUAUGAUAAGGACCGCAAGAAAGGAGAUGUUGGUGGAUCGCUAGGCAGAGAUGCUGCUAGUGGAAGGGGAGUACUUGUUGCAACUGAAGACUCACUUAGUAAAAAUCAUGUGUGCGAGCUUCGAGAUCAGAUUAAUGUUACAUAGGGUGUUGCUUGUGACAUAUAUGAUGACAAUUGGUAUGUCACAACCUUAAAUCAGUUUACUGGCCAAGUCCCGGACAGGUUUGGUACACUGAGUAAGCUCUUGAUCUUGGACUUCAGCAGAAAUUCUCUGUCAGGGACUCUGUCUUAUACUUUAAGCACGCUAAACACCUUGAUAUUGAAGAGAUGUGGGCUGAUGAUGCAAGUGAGGAUGACAAAGAGGACAAUGGUGAGGAUGAUGACAAUAGUGAGGAAGAUGACAUUGCCCAGAAAGGUGACGAUGACGGGGAUGACAAUAAUUGAUAUCUUCGUGAUUAAUUAUAAGUACUUAUAUUUUCAUACUUUUGGUAAGUUGGUUGUUUUGGCAGGAAAGACUAAAUUUCAUGUAAGAUUGUGUAUGUAAAUUAUGUGUUUCGACUUUAAACUCAAGUUCUAAAAGUAAGGUGAUGUAGUAGCUGACUUAUUUUGAUACUAUAUGUUCUAUUGGAUUUGCAAUGAAGCAAAUUUGGAAUGUUGUUUCUGGUUUGGUAUAA
Long non-coding RNA from Daucus carota subsp. sativus, 1135 nucleotides. RefSeq lists it as uncharacterized. The record is from RefSeq and is a predicted model, not a curated record. Lineage: Eukaryota; Viridiplantae; Streptophyta; Magnoliopsida; Apiales; Apiaceae. The transcript has 5 exons.